GCGCUCGCUUCGGCAGCACAUAUACUGAAAUUGGAAUGAUACAGGGAAGAUUAGCAUGACCCUUGCGCAAGGAUGACAUUCAAAUUCGUGAAGUGUUCCAUAUUUUU
RNAcentral lists this small nuclear RNA (107 nucleotides) under Dasypus novemcinctus (nine-banded armadillo). The record is from RNAcentral. Lineage: Eukaryota; Metazoa; Chordata; Mammalia; Cingulata; Dasypodidae.